AACGAACGCUGGCGGCAUGCCUAACACAUGCAAGUCGAACGAGACCUUCGGGUCUAGUGGCGCACGGGUGCGUAACGCGUGGGAACCUGCCCUUAGGUUCGGAAUAACUCCCCGAAAGGGGUGCUAAUACCGGAUAAUGUCUUCGGACCAAAGAUUUAUCGCCUUUGGAUGGGCCCGCGUUGGAUUAGCUAGUUGGUAGGGUAAAAGCCUACCAAGGCGACGAUCCAUAGCUGGUCUGAGAGGAUGAUCAGCCACACUGGGACUGAGACACGGCCCAGAUUCCUACGGGAGGCAGCAGUGGUGAAUAUUGGACAAUGGGCGAAAGCCUGAUCCAGCAAUGCCGCGUGAGUGAUGAAGGACUUAGGGUUGUAAAGCUCUUUUACCCGGGAUGAUAAUGACAGUACCGGGAGAAUAAGCUCCGGCUAACUCCGU
RNAcentral lists this ribosomal RNA (432 nucleotides) under uncultured bacterium. Its description in RNAcentral is "partial 16S ribosomal RNA". It matches the Rfam family "Bacterial small subunit ribosomal RNA", at positions 29 to 506 of the family's 1533-position model. The record is from RNAcentral.